RNAcentral lists this ribosomal RNA (425 nucleotides) under uncultured bacterium. RNAcentral describes it as "bacterial SSU rRNA". It matches the Rfam family "Bacterial small subunit ribosomal RNA", at positions 355 to 796 of the family's 1533-position model. The record is from RNAcentral.
UAGGGAAUCUUCCACAAUGGGCGAAAGCCUGAUGGAGCAACGCCGCGUGCAGGAUGAAUGUCUUCGGAUUGUAAACUGCUUUUAUCUGUGACGAUUAUGACGGUAGCAGAUGAAUAAGGAUCGGCUAACUCCGUGCCAGCAGCCGCGGUCAUACGGAGGAUCCAAGCGUUAUCCGGAAUUACUGGGCGUAAAGAGUUGCGUAGGUGGCAAAGUAAGUUGGUAGUGAAAGCGUUCGGCUCAACCGAAUAUACAUUAUCAAAACUGCUUCGCUAGAGGAUGAGAGAGGUUAUUGGAAUUCCUAGUGUAGGAGUGAAAUCCGUAGAUAUUAGGAGGAACACCGAUGGCGUAGGCAGAUAACUGGCUCAUUCCUGACACUAAGGCACGAAAGCGUGGGUAGCAAACGGGAUUAGAUACCCGGGUAGUCC